Molecule: ribosomal RNA, 847 nt
Filed under: uncultured bacterium
Lineage: Bacteria
Description: SSU rRNA
Rfam family: Bacterial small subunit ribosomal RNA
Source: RNAcentral
UACGGAGGGUGCAAGCGUUAUCCGGAAUUAUUGGGCGUAAAGCGUCCGCAGGCGGUUUUUCAAGUGUGAUAUUAAAGCCGGCAGCUCAACUGUCGUUUGGUGUCGCAAACUGUUAAACUAGAGGCUUAGAGAGGUGCGUGGAAUUCUGCAUGUAGGGGUAAAAUCCGUAGAUAUGCAGAGGAACACCAAAAGCGAAAGCAGCGCACUGGAUAAGUUCUGACGCUCAUGGACGAAAGCGUGGGGAGCAAACAGGAUUAGAUACCCUGGUAGUCCACGCCGUAAACGAUGGAUACUCGGUGUUAGGUUAUUCAAUCGACCUAGUGCCUAAGCUAACGCGUUAAGUAUCCCGCCUGAGGAGUACGAUCGCAAGAUUAAAACUCAAAGGAAUAGACGGGGACCCACACAAGCGGUGGAGCAUCUUGUUUAAUUCGAUAAUAAGCGGGAAACCUUACCUAGGCUUGACAUCCCGGAGAAUUUUCUAGAGAUAGAAAAGUGCCUUUUGGAACUCCGGUGACAGGUGCUGCAUGGUUGUCGUCAGCUCGUGCCUUGAGGUGUUCGGUUAAGUCCGUAAACGAGCGCAACCCUAGUCGUAUGUUGUAUUUCUCAUACGAGACUGCCGGUUACAAAUCGGAGGAAGGUUAGGAUGAUGUCAAAUCAGCAUGGCCCUUAUGCCUAGGGCUACAAAGGUGCUACAAUGGUAGAUACAACGGGCAACCAAGUGGUAACACGGAGCCAAUCCCUUAAAGUCUAUCUUAGUUCGGAUCGAGGUCUGCAACUCGACCUCGUGAAGUUGGAAUCGCUAGUAACCGCAUAUCAGCUAUGGUGCGGUGAAUAUGUUCCUGGGUCU